Molecule: ribosomal RNA, 1119 nt
Filed under: Formosa sp. G717
Lineage: Bacteria; Pseudomonadati; Bacteroidota; Flavobacteriia; Flavobacteriales; Flavobacteriaceae
Description: bacterial SSU rRNA
Rfam family: Bacterial small subunit ribosomal RNA
Source: RNAcentral
UAGACUUGGCAUCAGGACUAUAUUAAAGAUUUAUCGGUAAAAGAUGAGCAUGCGUUCUAUUAGUUAGUUGGUAAGGUAACGGCUUACCAAGACAGCGAUAGAUAGGGGCCCUGAGAGGGGGAUCCCCCACACUGGUACUGAGACACGGACCAGACUCCUACGGGAGGCAGCAGUGAGGAAUAUUGGACAAUGGGCGAGAGCCUGAUCCAGCCAUGCCGCGUGCAGGAAGACUGCCCUAUGGGUUGUAAACUGCUUUUAUACAGGAAGAAACAUCUCUACGUGUAGAGACUUGACGGUACUGUAAGAAUAAGGAUCGGCUAACUCCGUGCCAGCAGCCGCGGUAAUACGGAGGAUCCAAGCGUUAUCCGGAAUCAUUGGGUUUAAAGGGUCCGUAGGUGGAUAAUUAAGUCAGAGGUGAAAUCCUGCAGCUCAACUGUAGAAUUGCCUUUGAUACUGGUUAUCUUGAGUUAUUAUGAAGUAGUUAGAAUAUGUAGUGUAGCGGUGAAAUGCAUAGAUAUUACAUAGAAUACCAAUUGCGAAGGCAGAUUACUAAUAAUAUACUGACACUGAUGGACGAAAGCGUGGGGAGCGAACAGGAUUAGAUACCCUGGUAGUCCACGCCGUAAACGAUGGUUACUAGCUGUUCGGAUUUCGGUCUGAGUGGCUAAGCGAAAGUGAUAAGUAACCCACCUGGGGAGUACGUUCGCAAGAAUGAAACUCAAAGGAAUUGACGGGGGCCCGCACAAGCGGUGGAGCAUGUGGUUUAAUUCGAUGAUACGCGAGGAACCUUACCAGGGCUUAAAUGUAGAUUGACAGGACUAGAGAUAGUUUUUUCUUCGGACAAUUUACAAGGUGCUGCAUGGUUGUCGUCAGCUCGUGCCGUGAGGUGUCAGGUUAAGUCCUAUAACGAGCGCAACCCCUGUUGUUAGUUGCCAGCGAGUCAUGUCGGGAACUCUAACAAGACUGCCAGUGCAAACUGUGAGGAAGGUGGGGAUGACGUCAAAUCAUCACGGCCCUUACGUCCUGGGCUACACACGUGCUACAAUGGUAGGGACAGAGAGCAGCCACUGCGCGAGCAGGAGCGAAUCUAUAAACCCUAUCACAGUUCGGAUCGGAGUC